UACGUAGGAGGCAAGCGUUGUCCGGAAUCACUGGGCGUAAAGCGUGUGUAGGCGGAUCGCUAAGUCUGUGGUGAAAGCGCCUGGCUUAACCGGGCGAGGUCCAUGGAAACUAGCGGUCUGGAGGCCGGUAGAGGGGGGUGGAAUUCCGGGUGUAGUGGUGAAAUGCGUAGAGAUCCGGAGGAACACCAGUGGCGAAGGCGGCCCCCUGGGCCGCGCCUGACGCUGAGACGCGAAAGCGCGGGGAGCGAACGGG
Molecule: ribosomal RNA, 253 nt
Filed under: uncultured bacterium
Lineage: Bacteria
Description: partial 16S ribosomal RNA
Rfam family: Bacterial small subunit ribosomal RNA
Source: RNAcentral